This 484-nucleotide ribosomal RNA is filed under the name uncultured bacterium. RNAcentral's name for it is "partial 16S ribosomal RNA". It matches the Rfam family "Bacterial small subunit ribosomal RNA", at positions 28 to 507 of the family's 1533-position model. The record is from RNAcentral.
AUUGAACGCUGGCGGCAUGCUUUACACAUGCGAGUCGAACGGCAGCGCGGGCUUCGGCCUAGCGGCGAGUGGCGAACGGGUGAGUAAUGCAUCGGAACGUGCCCAGUAGUGGGGGAUAGCCCGGCGAAAGCCGGAUUAAUACCGCAUACGACCUGAGGGUGAAAGCGGGGGACCGAAAGGCCUCGCGCUAUUGGAGCGGCCGAUGUCGGAUUAGCUAGUUGGUGGGGUAAAGGCUUACCAAGGCGACGAUCCGUAGCUGGUCUGAGAGGACGACCAGCCACACUGGGACUGAGACACGGCCCAGACUCCUACGGGAGGCAGCAGUGGGGAAUUUUGGACAAUGGGGGCAACCCUGAUCCAGCCAUGCCGCGUGCGGGAAGAAGGCCUUCGGGUUGUAAACCGCUUUUGUUCGGGAAGAAAUCCUCUGGGCUAAUACCCCGGGGGGAUGACGGUACCGGAAGAAUAAGCACCGGCUAACUACGUG